Gallus gallus (chicken) is the source of this 61-nucleotide microRNA precursor. The record is from Ensembl. NCBI's taxonomy places the organism in Eukaryota, Metazoa, Chordata, Aves, Galliformes, Phasianidae.
ACUAGCAGAUGUUUAGGAAUGUGCCUUCUCAAAACAAGAUAACUUCCUGAAAACUGCUGGU